Molecule: ribosomal RNA, 253 nt
Filed under: uncultured bacterium
Lineage: Bacteria
Description: partial 16S ribosomal RNA
Rfam family: Bacterial small subunit ribosomal RNA
Source: RNAcentral
UACGUAGGGUGCGAGCGUUAAUCGGAAUUACUGGGCGUAAAGGGUGCGCAGGCGGUUCUGCAAGUCAGGCGUGAAAGCCCCGGGCUUAACCUGGGAAUGGCGCUUGAAACUUCAGGACUGGAGUAUGGCAGAGGGAGGUGGAAUUCCACGUGUAGCGGUGAAAUGCGUAGAGAUGUGGAGGAACACCGAUGGCGAAGGCAGCCUCCUGGGCCAAUACUGACGCUCAUGCACGAAAGCGUGGGGAGCAAACAGG